This 20-nucleotide non-coding RNA is filed under the name Mus musculus (house mouse). The record is from RNAcentral. Lineage: Eukaryota; Metazoa; Chordata; Mammalia; Rodentia; Muridae.
AACACACCUGUUCAAGGAUU